UUUUGUUUUGUAUUUUAGUAACAAUCCUAUUGUUUGGAAUUAGACUAAUAAAAUUCUUAUUCUUAUAAAAACUUACAAAAUCAAAGGUUAUCAAGACGACUGGUUCCACAUGUGGAGAAGGAUCGGAUCGUUCCCUUCCGAAGCACCUGAUAUUACCCCUAUUUUUUAGUAGGGUCUGUGUUGCUUUGUCUUUAUUUUUCUAUGUUGUGUUUUGUGUAAUAUUGUUUGUCCAUUUCUUUUUUAGCCAUGGCUUUGUAAGUUUAAUUUUUAUCUUUGAGUUUGAACGUUUCUGUGUUAUCUUUCAGUCCUCUGUUUUUCAAUCCACGGAACGAGGGAGUGUAAUACAUAUAGAAUUAUAUUGAAUUUUGAAAGAGAUCCAAGAUCAUGAUUAAGAUUUCAAUGCAAU
RNAcentral lists this long non-coding RNA (406 nucleotides) under Mytilus galloprovincialis (Mediterranean mussel). The record is from RNAcentral. Lineage: Eukaryota; Metazoa; Mollusca; Bivalvia; Mytilida; Mytilidae.